AAGGGUGUAGCUCAGUGGUAGAGCGCAUAACUAGCAUGCAUGAGGUUCUGAGUUCAAGCCCCAGUACCUCCA
RNAcentral lists this transfer RNA (72 nucleotides) under Camelus bactrianus (Bactrian camel). It matches the Rfam family "tRNA". From Rfam's summary of the family: Transfer RNA (tRNA) molecules are approximately 80 nucleotides in length. Lineage: Eukaryota; Metazoa; Chordata; Mammalia; Artiodactyla; Camelidae. RNAcentral also lists the same sequence under 2 other names. The record is from Rfam by way of RNAcentral.